UAGGGAAUCUUCGGCAAUGGACGAAAGUCUGACCGAGCAACGCCGCGAGAGUGAAGAAGGUUUUCGGAUCGUAAAACUCUGUUGUUAGAGAAGAACAAGGACGUUAGUAACUGAACGUCCCCUGACGGUAUCUAACCAGAAAGCCACGGCUAACUACGUGCCAGCAGCCGCGGUAAUACGUAGGUGGCAAGCGUUGUCCGGAUUUAUUGGGCGUAAAGCGAGCGCAGGCGGUUUCUUAAGUCUGAUGUGAAAGCCCCCGGCUCAACCGGGGAGAGUCAUUGGAAACUGGGGGACGUGCGUACAGAAGAGGAGAGUGGAAUUCCAUGUGGAGCGGUGAAAUGCGUAGAUAUAUGGAGGAACACCAGUGGCGAAGGCAGCUCUCUGGUCUGUAACUGACGCUGAGGCUCGAACGCGUGGGGAGCAAACAGG
Molecule: ribosomal RNA, 429 nt
Filed under: Gemmatimonadota bacterium
Lineage: Bacteria; Pseudomonadati; Gemmatimonadota
Description: Gemmatimonadetes bacterium partial 16S ribosomal RNA
Rfam family: Bacterial small subunit ribosomal RNA
Source: RNAcentral